AUUGAACGCUGGCGGAAUGCUUUACACAUGCAAGUCGAGCGGCAGCGCGGGGCAACCUGGCGGCGAGCGGCGAACGGGUGAGUAAUGUAUCGGAACGUACCCAGUCGUGGGGGAUAACUAUCCGAAAGGAUAGCUAAUACCGCAUACGUCCUGAGGGAGAAAGCGGGGGAUCGCAAGACCUCGCGCGAUUGGAGCGGCCGAUAUCGGAUUAGCUAGUUGGUGAGGUAAAGGCUCACCAAGGCGACGAUCCGUAGCUGGUCUGAGAGGACGACCAGCCACACUGGAACUGAGACACGGUCCAGACUCCUACGGGAGGCAGCAGUGGGGAAUUUUGGACAAUGGGGGCAACCCUGAUCCAGCCAUUCCGCGUGAGUGAAGAAGGCCUGGUUGUAAG
RNAcentral lists this ribosomal RNA (394 nucleotides) under uncultured bacterium. Its description in RNAcentral is "bacterial SSU rRNA". It matches the Rfam family "Bacterial small subunit ribosomal RNA", at positions 29 to 429 of the family's 1533-position model. The record is from RNAcentral.